GGCCCGUUAGCUCAGUUGGUUAGAGCGUCGUGCUAAUAACGCGAAGGUCGUGGGUUUGAUCCCCCCACGGGCCA
This 74-nucleotide transfer RNA is filed under the name Schistocerca americana (American grasshopper). RNAcentral's name for it is "tRNA-Ile". It matches the Rfam family "tRNA". Rfam says of the family: Transfer RNA (tRNA) molecules are approximately 80 nucleotides in length. The record is from RNAcentral. RNAcentral also lists the same sequence under 2 other names. Lineage: Eukaryota; Metazoa; Arthropoda; Insecta; Orthoptera; Acrididae.